GGGAGUGUAGCUCAGUGAUAGAGCACUUGCCUAGCCAAGCAGGAGGCUCUGGGUUUGAUACCCAGCAUAGCAA
This 73-nucleotide transfer RNA is filed under the name Marmota marmota marmota (Alpine marmot). It matches the Rfam family "tRNA". Rfam says of the family: Transfer RNA (tRNA) molecules are approximately 80 nucleotides in length. Their secondary structure includes four short double-helical elements and three loops (D, anti-codon, and T loops). Further hydrogen bonds mediate the characteristic L-shaped molecular structure. tRNAs have two regions of fundamental functional importance: the anti-codon, which is responsible for specific mRNA codon recognition, and the 3' end, to which the tRNAs corresponding amino acid is attached (by aminoacyl-tRNA synthetases). tRNAs cope with the degeneracy of the genetic code in two manners: having more than one tRNA (with a specific anti-codon) for a particular amino acid; and 'wobble' base-pairing, i.e. permitting non-standard base-pairing at the 3rd anti-codon position. Lineage: Eukaryota; Metazoa; Chordata; Mammalia; Rodentia; Sciuridae. The record is from Rfam by way of RNAcentral. RNAcentral also lists the same sequence under 2 other names.